Molecule: ribosomal RNA, 363 nt
Filed under: uncultured bacterium
Lineage: Bacteria
Description: bacterial SSU rRNA
Rfam family: Bacterial small subunit ribosomal RNA
Source: RNAcentral
AGGGUUUGAUUAUGGCUCAGGAUGAACGCCGGCGGUGUGCCUAAUACAUGCAAGUCGUACGCACUGGCCCAACUGAUUGAUGGUGCUUGCACCUGAUUGACGAUGGAUCACCAGUGAGUGGCGGACGGGUGAGUAACACGUAGGUAACCUGCCCCGGAGCGGGGGAUAACAUUUGGAAACAGAUGCUAAUACCGCAUAACAACAAAAGCCGCAUGGUUUUUGUUUGAAAGAUGGCUUUGGCUAUCACUCUGGGAUGGACCUGCGGUGCAUUAGCUAGUUGGUAAGGUAACGGCUUACCAAGGCGAUGAUGCAUAGCCGAGUUGAGAGACUGAUCGGCCACAAUGGAACUGAGACACGGUCCAU